CCUGUGUCGGGGGACAGUGGAGCUGCCAGGACCUGGACUGUCCUAGAACCUGCUCUGUAGAGGGAGGCUCCCACAUCACCACUUUCGACGGGAAGCCCUUCACCUUCCACGGAGACUGCUCCUACACUCUGGCCAAGCAAUGCAAUGACAGUCAGUUCACAGUCUUGGGUGACAUUGUCAAGUGUGGAUUAACAGACACUGAGACCUGCUUGAAAGCUGUGACCCUGGCCAUCUCAGCAGGACAAACUGUGAUCAGCAUCAAGCCCUGUGGAAGUGUGUUUGUGAAUGGCAUCCUUUCUCAGCUCCCACUCUCUACAG
This is a non-coding RNA of Lepisosteus oculatus (spotted gar), 318 nucleotides long. Lineage: Eukaryota; Metazoa; Chordata; Actinopteri; Semionotiformes; Lepisosteidae. The record is from RefSeq and is a predicted model, not a curated record.